This 73-nucleotide transfer RNA is filed under the name Bos taurus (domestic cattle). It matches the Rfam family "tRNA". Rfam says of the family: Transfer RNA (tRNA) molecules are approximately 80 nucleotides in length. Their secondary structure includes four short double-helical elements and three loops (D, anti-codon, and T loops). Further hydrogen bonds mediate the characteristic L-shaped molecular structure. tRNAs have two regions of fundamental functional importance: the anti-codon, which is responsible for specific mRNA codon recognition, and the 3' end, to which the tRNAs corresponding amino acid is attached (by aminoacyl-tRNA synthetases). tRNAs cope with the degeneracy of the genetic code in two manners: having more than one tRNA (with a specific anti-codon) for a particular amino acid; and 'wobble' base-pairing, i.e. permitting non-standard base-pairing at the 3rd anti-codon position. RNAcentral also lists the same sequence under 1 other name. The record is from Rfam by way of RNAcentral. Lineage: Eukaryota; Metazoa; Chordata; Mammalia; Artiodactyla; Bovidae.
UCCCGGGUGGCUCAGAUGGGAAAAGUGUCUGCUUACAAUGCGGGAGACCCAGGUUCAAUCCCUGGUUCGGGAA